Long non-coding RNA from Cydia strobilella, 244 nucleotides. RefSeq lists it as uncharacterized. The record is from RefSeq and is a predicted model, not a curated record. The transcript has 2 exons. Lineage: Eukaryota; Metazoa; Arthropoda; Insecta; Lepidoptera; Tortricidae.
AGGUGGGUACAACCAUAAAUCAGCAACUGGCUGUAUAGUUUUAGAUAAAGAUAGUUUAUUAUUUAAGUAGGCAUAUUACAAUGCGCUUAUGAACGUCAAAUAAAGCUACGCCGGCUCUAACCCUACACCUCUGCAUCGAGAAGAUUUAAAUCUCCCCUCAAUUGGAGGAGGGUAUCCCAAUAUGGGACCGGCAACAAACUCGGCGGGACACAUAUUUUAAAAACUUUACAUCUUACAAUUAACA